UACGUAGGGUGCGAGCGUUGUCCGGAAUUAUUGGGCGUAAAGAGCUCGUAGGCGGUCUGUCGCGUCUGCUGUGAAAUCCCGAGGCUCAACCUCGGGCCUGCAGUGGGUACGGGCAGGCUAGAGUGCGGUAGGGGAGAAUGGAGCUCCUGGUGUAGCGGUGGAAUGCGCAGAUAUCAGGAAGAACACCGAUGGCGAAGGCAGUUCUCUGGGCCGUAACUGACGCUGAGGAGCGAAAGCGUGGGGAGCGAACAGG
Molecule: ribosomal RNA, 253 nt
Filed under: uncultured bacterium
Lineage: Bacteria
Description: partial 16S ribosomal RNA
Rfam family: Bacterial small subunit ribosomal RNA
Source: RNAcentral